GCGGGCGUCGUAUAAUGGCUAUUACCCCGGCCUUCCAAGCCGGAGAUGUGGGUUCGAUUCCCAUCGCCCGCUCCA
Molecule: transfer RNA, 75 nt
Filed under: Sulfurivirga caldicuralii
Lineage: Bacteria; Pseudomonadati; Pseudomonadota; Gammaproteobacteria; Thiotrichales; Piscirickettsiaceae
Also listed under: 1 other name
Description: tRNA-Gly
Rfam family: tRNA
About the family: Transfer RNA (tRNA) molecules are approximately 80 nucleotides in length. Their secondary structure includes four short double-helical elements and three loops (D, anti-codon, and T loops).
Source: RNAcentral